This 374-nucleotide ribosomal RNA is filed under the name uncultured prokaryote. RNAcentral describes it as "bacterial SSU rRNA". It matches the Rfam family "Bacterial small subunit ribosomal RNA", at positions 524 to 896 of the family's 1533-position model. The record is from RNAcentral.
UACGUAGGUGUCGAGCGUUAUCCGGAUUUACUGGGCGUAAAGGGCACGCAGGCGGCUGCUCAAGUCUGACGUGAAAACUCCCGGCUUAACCGGGAGAGGCCGUUGGAAACUGAGGUGCUUGAGGCAAGUAGAGGGAUGCGGAAUUUCCGGUGUAGUGGUGGAAUGCGUAGAUAUCGGGAAGAACACCAGUGGCGAAAGCGGCAUCCUGGCCUUGAACUGACGCUGAGGUGCGAAAGCGAGGGUAGCGAACGGGAUUAGAUACCCCGGUAGUCCACGCUGUAAACGAUGUGAACUAGGUGUAGGUGGUAUUGACCCCAUCUGUGCCAAAGCUAACGCGAUAAGUUCACCGCCUGGGGAGUACGGCCGCAAGGCUA